ACAGGUAGUGUCCCUCAGGGCUGUAGAACAGGGUUGGAUUACUAAAGCCCUGUUCUAUGCCCUGAGGGACACUGAGCAUGU
Non-coding RNA from Pongo abelii (Sumatran orangutan), 81 nucleotides. NCBI's taxonomy places the organism in Eukaryota, Metazoa, Chordata, Mammalia, Primates, Hominidae. The record is from Rfam.